RNAcentral lists this ribosomal RNA (301 nucleotides) under uncultured bacterium. Its description in RNAcentral is "partial 16S ribosomal RNA". It matches the Rfam family "Bacterial small subunit ribosomal RNA", at positions 509 to 807 of the family's 1533-position model. The record is from RNAcentral.
CAGCAGCCGCGGUAACACGUAGGUGGCAAGCGUUGUCCGGAAUUAUUGGGCGUAAAGGGCUCGCAGGCGGUUUCUUAAGUCUGAUGUGAAAGCCCCCGGCUCAACCGGGGAGGGUCAUUGGAAACUGGGAAACUUGAGUGCAGAAGAGGAGAGUGGAAUUCCACGUGUAGCGGUGAAAUGCGUAGAGAUGUGGAGGAACACCAGUGGCGAAGGCGACUCUCUGGUCUGUAACUGACGCUGAGGAGCGAAAGCGUGGGGAGCGAACAGGAUUAGAUACCCCGGUAGUCCCUGUCUCUUAUAC